RNAcentral lists this long non-coding RNA (216 nucleotides) under Lathyrus oleraceus (garden pea). RNAcentral's name for it is "Pisum sativum (pea) long non-coding RNA (PSAT_LNC007201)". The record is from RNAcentral. Lineage: Eukaryota; Viridiplantae; Streptophyta; Magnoliopsida; Fabales; Fabaceae.
CUCUUUUAUUUAGAAUCCCAAAAAUAUGAGACCAAUUGCAAAAAAUUUCUUUUAAAAUCUAGUUUCAUAAUCUGAUUUUUAAUUAUUUUUGUGAUUCAAUUUAAUAUUUUUUGUGAAUUAUUUUGUUUUUGAUAGUUUUUAAUUCAUUUUAUUUACUUUUUGAUAUUCAAAAAUUCGAAAAAAAAAUUCUUAAGGCAUAUGGAUGAUGAUAAGUCU